GGAAUUUUGGACAAUGGGCGCAAGCCUGAUCCAGCCAUGCCGCGUGAGUGAAGAAGGCCUUCGGGUUGUAAAGCUCUUUCGGCGGGGACGAAACGGUCCGCGCUAACACCACGGACUAAUGACGGUACUCGCAGAAGAAGCACCGGCUAACUACGUGCCAGCAGCCGCGGUAAUACGGAGGGUGCAAGCGUUAAUCGGAAUUACUGGGCGUAAAGCGCGCGUAGGUGGUUUGAUAAGCGAGAUGUGAAAGCCCCGGGCUUAACCUGGGAACGGCAUUUCGAACUGUCAGGCUAGAGUAUGGUAGAGGAGUGUGGAAUUUCCUGUGUAGCGGUGAAAUGCGUAGAUAUAGGAAGGAACACCAGUGGCGAAGGCGCCACUCUGGACCAAUACUGACACUGAGGUGCGAAAGCAUGGGGAGCA
RNAcentral lists this ribosomal RNA (420 nucleotides) under uncultured bacterium. Its description in RNAcentral is "bacterial SSU rRNA". It matches the Rfam family "Bacterial small subunit ribosomal RNA", at positions 358 to 770 of the family's 1533-position model. The record is from RNAcentral.